RNAcentral lists this ribosomal RNA (496 nucleotides) under uncultured bacterium. Its description in RNAcentral is "partial 16S ribosomal RNA". It matches the Rfam family "Bacterial small subunit ribosomal RNA", at positions 29 to 507 of the family's 1533-position model. The record is from RNAcentral.
AUGAACGCUGGCGGCGUGCCUAAUCCCUGCAAGUCGCGCGAACGGACGAGAAGCUUGCUUCUCUGAUGUUAGCGGCGGACGGGUGAGUAACACGUGGAUAACCUACCUAUAAGACUGGGAUAACUUCGGGAAACCGGAGCUAAUACCGGAUAAUAUUUUGAACCGCAUGGUUCAAAAGUGAAAGACGGUCUUGCUGUCACUUAUAGAUGGAUCCGCGCUGCAUUAGCUAGUUGGUAAGGUAACGGCUUACCAAGGCAACGAUGCAUAGCCGACCUGAGAGGGUGAUCGGCCACACUGGAACUGAGACACGGUCCAGACUCCUACGGGAGGCAGCAGUAGGGAAUCUUCCGCAAUGGGCGAAAGCCUGACGGAGCAACGCCGCGUGAGUGAUGAAGGUCUUCGGAUCGUAAAACCCUGUUAUUAGGGAAGAACAUAUGUGUAAGUAACUGUGCACAUCUUGACGGUACCUAAUCAGAAAGCCACGGCUAACUACGUG